CGUGCUUUCGAAAAUGCGGAGGCCUUCAUACUUGUAAAUUGUUUCCGAUGAUAGGACAUCCAAUUCGACGAUCUACUCCGUUAGACAUAAUCUAUACUAUUGAACUAUCUAGAACCAAUUUUAUAAUUUUUCGACAUCAUUUACCAAGCGAUCACAUGGUCUAAAAAAUGACUAUUUUAACGGCUGAUGUGACACGUUUUUAAGUUCAAACAGUGUAGAAGUAUCCAAAUUAUAUGAAACUUU
RNAcentral lists this long non-coding RNA (243 nucleotides) under Ananas comosus (pineapple). RNAcentral describes it as "long non-coding RNA (ACOM_LNC010576)". Lineage: Eukaryota; Viridiplantae; Streptophyta; Magnoliopsida; Poales; Bromeliaceae. The record is from RNAcentral.